UGGAUUGUCUUUUAUCAGACUUGAUUAUUUACAGACAGCCGUCAUAUUGCUGAGAGUGGCGUUAUACAACAAACAAACAACUCCUAUGUAAAUCAUAGCUUGGUGUUAACAAAUAUCUGUCAACGAAAGUAAAUAGUUUAACAUGUUUCUGCCUCAGAGGGACAAGUUGAUAGUAACUGUACGCAUAUCUUUUAUUGAUGUACAUAAGACAAUGAAAUGCUUACAACACGAGAAUUAGAGAAUGUUUUGAUUUGUUUUGUGAUUUCAAAAAAUAUUUGCUUAAAUUUUCAUCCAUACUUUUAAUGUGAAAUGUUAUGGGUUUUUUGGUUCACAAAAACUAGCAAAGAAACACGGUGGAAACUCAUGUUGAACCGCAUACUUCCAUCCAUCGCAGUUGACGAACAGAGUUUGUAGCCAUCGGAUCGCGGGUUAGGAUGUCUCUACGUGGUAUUUUUCAUUUGAUUUCGAGAAUAAAUAAUAAUGUAUAAUGAGCGGAACAUUUGUACAAUAUUGUAAACAUAUGGAAGAUUAAUUCAUUUGGGACAAAAAAGUUCCUUUCGUUGGAGUUACAAGUAAGGUUUUCUAUUCAUUUACUUAUAAGGAGCGGUCGGGUAGCCUAGUGGUUCGCGUUCGCUCGUCACACCGAAGACCCGGGUUCAAUUCCAAAUAUUGGUACAAUGUGUGAAGCUCAUUUCUGGUGUUACCCGCCGAGAUAUUGCUGGGAUAUUGGUAAAAGUGGCGAAACAUUACAUUGCUGCGUCACACUGUAUCAAACAAACAAACAAACAAACAAAAAGGAUAUGGUAUAGGUAUCAGCACCUAUAAAGAAAGAAAGAAACAAGUUGAAAUCCAUUGUUUAAUAGGCAUUACUUUAAAGUUGACGGAUGGGCUUGCUUGACAACAAUAUAAGGAUCUUUAUACAAACGUCGCCUUUACAGUAAAUAAAGAAGUUGUUGUCCAUAGAAUAUCUCUACUUAAUCAAGUUGAAAUCCAUACGUCGCAUGUCUACUCAACAUGUACUUUCGAAACGAUACGUACCUUUCUUAUGAUUACUACCCUACGACACAAUCUCCAUUCAAGUACCCUUCAGUGUACCUACAAGUGCCGCUUGUGGAGUGAUGGGUCACCUCGGUCCUUCAACCCUGUUUAUCGCAUGCUAAAUACGUUAUAUUCCCACCGUAUCAUUCACAUCCGCGACGACACGUUAAAGACACGUGCUACACACAUGAUCAGGAUUUAUUUAGUAGGUCAUACACUAUCGCUUACCCGUACUGUCAUUGCCGUCGGUCAGCGUCUCCUUUCAACCAGAAGCUAACCUGUUAACGCUAUGGCCGAACACACCCCCAUGACCAUGUCACUAAAUAAUGGCCUUUCUAUGCCUGCAGUGGGAUUUGGGACAUUCAACAAGCUGGUGGUCAAUGACAGGGUCAUGAUAGACGCUGUGAAGACAGCCAUUGACGUCGGCUUCCGUCAUUUGGAUGCAGCGUGGUAUUACAACAACGAGACAGACGUAGGUCAGGCCAUCAAGGAGAAGAUACAAGACAAAACAGUGACGAGAGAGGAGCUCUUCAUUACGUCAAAACUGUGGUCCAACUUCAUGGCACCGGGGAGAGUUGAGGAAGCGGUGAGGCUGUCUCUGGAAGACCUUGGUGUAGCCUAUCUGGAUCUGUACCUGGUACACUGGCCUACACCCACAGAGGACAGCCCCGAUGACCGGACCUUCAGUGCUCCGGUUCAUGACCACAAGAUCGAUUACCUGGACACGUGGAAGGCAAUGGAGAAACUUGUGGAGAAGGGACUUGUUCGCAGUAUCGGAAUUAGCAAUUUUAAUUUAAGCCAGGUUGAAAGACUACUGAACAUGGAUGGGCUGAAAAUCACACCUUCAAACCACCAAAUUGAGAUCCACCCGCUUCUGAACAACAAAGACCUUGUACAAUACUGUCAGAGUAAGGGAAUAUCCGUCACGGCAUACUGCCCUCUCGGGGGUAUGUCGGGAAAUGUAGGGAUUGUCAACAACCCGACACUGGCAGCAGUGGGCAAGAAGUAUGGAAGGUCUGCAGCUCAGGUAGCCCUGAGAUGGGGGCUACAGAGAGGAUAUGCAGUUCUGACGAAGAGUAUGAAAGCGGAGCGGAUAAAGCAUAAUUUCCAGUUGUCUGACUUUGAAUUAAGUGACGAGGAUAUGGACGUGGUCUAUUCUGUCAAUAGUGACACACGCAUGGUGGUACCAGCCAUGUAAGUUUUGUUCAGUUCCUGCCGUUCAAGGGUCAUCGGUUCUGUCCUUUCUAGAUCGCAGGCUUUGGAAGCGUAUACUACAGCUAAAAGGAAAUAAAACAAGGCUUGCAAGGUUCUACCUCACACGUCAUUAGUAUGACGUCACACCACUCAGUGACGCAAACCAUAUGACGUCACAGUCGGAUAUAGAAAAUCGCCAAGUCUCAAGACCUCUGUCUCUCCUCAAACCUGAAAUACAAAUUCUUUGUCGAUAUCUAUCGCGAGUUCUGCUCAAAAUGCUUUGCCACAAUUACGUUGAAUAUUAUUUAACCGCAAAUAUAUGUUUGUACAA
Haliotis rufescens (red abalone) is the source of this 2563-nucleotide RNA transcript. It is a transcript of the gene named 1,5-anhydro-D-fructose reductase-like, with no coding region annotated. The transcript is spliced from 11 exons. NCBI's taxonomy places the organism in Eukaryota, Metazoa, Mollusca, Gastropoda, Lepetellida, Haliotidae. The record is from RefSeq and is a predicted model, not a curated record.